AGUGAACGCUGGCGGUAGGCCUAACACAUGCAAGUCGAACGGCAGCACAGUAAGAGCUUGCUCUUACGGGUGGCGAGUGGCGGACGGGUGAGGAAUACAUCGGAAUCUACCUUUUCGUGGGGGAUAACGUAGGGAAACUUACGCUAAUACCGCAUACGACCUACGGGUGAAAGCAGGGGAUCUUCGGACCUUGCGCGAUUGAAUGAGCCGAUGUCGGAUUAGCUAGUUGGCGGGGUAAAGGCCCACCAAGGCGACGAUCCGUAGCUGGUCUGAGAGGAUGAUCAGCCACACUGGAACUGAGACACGGUCCAGACUCCUACGGGAGGCAGCAGUGGGGAAUAUUGGACAAUGGGCGCAAGCCUGAUCCAGCCACACCGCGUGGGUGAAGAAGGCCUUCGGGUUGUAAAGCCCUUUUGUUGGGAAAGAAAAGCAGCAGGUUAAUACCCCGCUGUUCUGACGGUACCCAAAGAAUAAGCACCGGCUAACUUCGUG
Molecule: ribosomal RNA, 492 nt
Filed under: uncultured bacterium
Lineage: Bacteria
Description: partial 16S ribosomal RNA
Rfam family: Bacterial small subunit ribosomal RNA
Source: RNAcentral